UUUAGUUUUCGAAAACUGUGAGUAAACUUAUUAUCAUCUUAAUUAUCUAGAGUAGUUUUAUACAAUUGUGUGAUUUUAUGAAAAAUGGGUUUAAAUGGUAAAUUGCUAUGUUUUAAAAGAAAUUUAAUUUUAUAAAAUGAUUUUAUAAAUUUUUUGGAAAAUCGAAUACUGGUUUUGAAAAUAGAGUAAUUAGAGACUGCCUGCUUGUGUUAUAAAUUUAUGGUUUUAAAUUGAAUGGCUUAUGACAAUAAAUGAGCAUGAAUGGCUAAACUGAUUUUGGUGUAAGAAUUAUUUGUACUGUGUAUUCAGCCUUGAGAGGCUAGGUUGUGAUAAAUUGUCAUGUCAUGCAGUAAAAAGAUUUUAUAAAUCAGGUGGUAGAUAAAAGAUUAGCUACUGCAGUGGCGGGGUUCCGUGGGCCAACCUAUUAGAAGGGCACGGUAAACUCCUUUAUAUUCUCACCUCGGUCGUAGAGGCACGUAGGGUAUCUCCUGAGGUGGGCUUUUUGAGUGCACUUCACAUGAACCACCGUGUGAGAGUGAGACUCAGCCAAUGUCAUGGAACGGCUAUGUUUCAAAAUAAAAAUAUGAUUUAUGCGAAAUAUGAAUUUUUAAUAGCAUUUGCGGACUCGAUUGGAUACCCCUGGUCCAAGUGUCCCCGAGUACAGGAUUUGGCAUGAGCCAAGUUUUGAGUAAUUCACGAGCCAUAUUGAUUAUUUGGUUGAAAUGAAUAUUCGUGAUGUGAAAAAUUUACUGAAGUUAAUUAUUUUUAAUUGUCUCCAUUUACUUGCCUUUAGAUAGUUUAGAUGGUGUCUGUUUACUCACUGGGAUUUUAUAAUCUCACCACCCUCAAUUCCUCACAUUUCAGGUUCGGGAUAGCUGGUAGAUAGCCGAUUGCAUCAAGGACUUCAGUUAGCCUUGCAUUGUCAAAAUUAUAGGUCCACAAACUCGCAUCUUAUUGGUUAGUUGGGGGCUCACGUGUCAUUGUAAAAGUAAUUUUAUACUUUAGUUAUUUGAUUUAAAAUAUGUAUGAACAUAUUUAGCUUUUACACCAUGUUUUUGGCGAGUUUCGGUAUUAUCGAAGAAAAAUGACGAAAAUGCCCCUGUGAGCCAGAAAAUAAUAUUUUAUUAUUUUGAUUUGGAAACGACUUAUGAUUUCUUGAAAUGCAAGAUUUAAUAACUAUCGCUCAUGGGGGAGAUGCGGAAGCUGAUGCUAAGCCUUGUGGGGUUUCGAUCGGCA
This 1236-nucleotide long non-coding RNA is filed under the name Theobroma cacao (cacao). RNAcentral describes it as "long non-coding RNA (TCAC_LNC006414)". Lineage: Eukaryota; Viridiplantae; Streptophyta; Magnoliopsida; Malvales; Malvaceae. The record is from RNAcentral.